This 75-nucleotide transfer RNA is filed under the name Parcubacteria group bacterium CG2_30_45_37. RNAcentral's name for it is "tRNA-His". It matches the Rfam family "tRNA". Rfam says of the family: Transfer RNA (tRNA) molecules are approximately 80 nucleotides in length. Their secondary structure includes four short double-helical elements and three loops (D, anti-codon, and T loops). The record is from RNAcentral.
GUGGGCAUAGUCCAACGGCUAGAACUCUUGCUUGUGGUGCAAGAAAUCUGGGUUCGAUUCCCAGUGCCUACCCCG